Molecule: ribosomal RNA, 852 nt
Filed under: uncultured bacterium
Lineage: Bacteria
Description: bacterial SSU rRNA
Rfam family: Bacterial small subunit ribosomal RNA
Source: RNAcentral
AUACAUGCAAGUCGAGGGGCAGCAUGAAGUAGCAAUACUUUGAUGGCGACCGGCAAACGGGUGCGGAACACGUACACAACCUUCCCUUUAGUGGGGAAUAGCCCAGAGAAAUUUGGAUUAAUACCCCGUAACAUAACGAUGUGGCAUCACAUUGUUAUUAUAGCUUCGGCGCUAGAUGAUGGGUGUGCGUAUGAUUAGAUAGUUGGCGAGGUAACGGCUCACCAAGUCUACGAUCAUUAGCUGAUGUGAGAGCAUGAUCAGCCACACGGGCACUGAGACACGGGCCCGACUCCUACGGGAGGCAGCAGUAAGGAAUAUUGGUCAAUGGACGCAAGUCUGAACCAGCUAUGCCGCGUGAAGGAUUAAGGUCCUCUGGAUUGUAAACUUCUUUUAUCUGGGACGAAAAAAGGUCUUUCUAGAUCACUUGACGGUACCAGAUGAAUAAGCACCGGCUAACUCCGUGCCAGCAGCCGCGGUAAUACGGAGGGUGCAAGCGUUAUCCGGAUUCACUGGGUUUAAAGGGUGCGUAGGCGGGCAGGUAAGUCAGUGGUGAAAUCCUGGAGCUCAACUCCAGAACUGCCAUUGAUACUAUCUGUCUUGAAUAUUGUGGAGGUAAGCGGAAUAUGUCAUGUAGCGGUGAAAUGCUUAGAUAUGACAUAGAACACCCAUUGCAAAGGCAGCUUACUACGCAUAUAUUGACGCUGAGGCACGAAAGCGUGGGGAUCAAACAGGAUUAGAUACCCUGGUAGUCCACGCCCUAAACGAUGGAUACUCGACAUACGCGAUACACUGUGUGUGUCUGAGCGAAAGCAUUAAGUAUCCCACCUGGGAAGUACGUUCGCAAGAAUGAAA